This 667-nucleotide long non-coding RNA is filed under the name Sorghum bicolor (sorghum). RNAcentral's name for it is "long non-coding RNA (SBIC_LNC008988)". Lineage: Eukaryota; Viridiplantae; Streptophyta; Magnoliopsida; Poales; Poaceae. The record is from RNAcentral.
CCUUACCAUGGCAGUGAUGGUAUAUGCCUUCUCUCAAAAUAUGUGGUAUUUGUGGUAUAAGGCAUAGUGACAUUGCCUUCUCUCUCACCCUACUCUAAUAAGGCUUUAAUAUCUGGGGCUCAUAGGUGGGAGAUAAAAUAUAUAUACUCACAAGACAUUUAUUGUAUAGUCAAACCAUGGAUCCAAAGAAACAAAUCAAUAAGCCAAAUCAAGAUGUGCAUGUGUGGCGAAUGGAUGGUGUAUGGUGAUGAUAGUGAUAACAAUGGUGAGAGUCUAAUUCUACUUUUGCUCUUUUGAGGGGAUACAUACCUUUCUUGCUCUUUGAAACUUUUGGCGGAGAAUGAGAUGCUCUGUAUUUUCUUUUCUCUCAGGUGGGUAUCUUGUACCCCUAAUUCUACUGUCGGACACUUGUCCAUUUUUACCUCUCGUCUCACUUUUUCUUUUCUUUCAAGGUUCCGGGCACUUGCCCCUUUUUAUUUCCUCGUAUCUUUCUUUUUUUUAGAGCACUCAUCUCUUGAGAUAAUAUAGCAAGUGGCAGUAACCAAGAUAACUUGAGCAUUUAUUUCAUAGGGGAAAAGAAAUAUUUUUGGCUAUUCUCUCCUGGAUUAGGAGUAGAAUAUUUUUGGGUGGUUCUGGAGAUGGAAAUGGAUGGAUAUAUGUGGAUGCG